UAGUGUCACAGCUCUUUUAGAAUUUGUAUAGCAGGUUUCCCAGUUUUUUCUGGUAGUCCCUC
RNAcentral lists this small nuclear RNA (62 nucleotides) under Procavia capensis (Cape rock hyrax). RNAcentral describes it as "U7 small nuclear RNA (ENSPCAG00000019635.1)". It matches the Rfam family "U7 small nuclear RNA". Rfam says of the family: Animal histone pre-mRNAs are spliced by a different mechanism than nuclear pre-mRNAs and self-splicing introns. The record is from RNAcentral. Lineage: Eukaryota; Metazoa; Chordata; Mammalia; Hyracoidea; Procaviidae.